This 1928-nucleotide unclassified non-coding RNA is filed under the name uncultured fungus. Its description in RNAcentral is "sequence contains 18S rRNA gene, ITS1, 5.8S rRNA gene, ITS2, 28S rRNA gene". The stretch from base 819 to 1928 matches the Rfam family "Eukaryotic large subunit ribosomal RNA", at positions 1 to 961 of the family's 3401-position model. The record is from RNAcentral. Lineage: Eukaryota; Fungi.
GGAAGGAUCAUUAACACGUAUCCACGUAUCCACCCCUCGUGCACUGUUUUCACAACCUCCCUAGGGAGCUUCGACAGGAGUUGGAAGGGAACUCGAGCGUUUGAAUGGGAGUUAGUCUUUAUUGACUACCUCAGCUCGAGUCCCCCCAUCAGCUGAGCAAUCAGCGUACAACUGGAGUCGACUCUUCUAGGCCACUAUUCUUCUUAUAGGAAUCUCUCUCCAUUCAAGAGAGGACUUAUGAGAUGUUUAAUACACCCCUUUCACCCCCUUUUUGCUAGUUGACUUUUUAUAUGUUGUUACACGUAGAUUCAUUUCUACUGUCUCACACGUUUAAUUACUUGAACGUUAAAAAAACAACUCUUAGCAAUGGAUAUCUUGGUUCUCGCAACGAUGAAGAACGCAGCGAAAUGCGAUACGUAAUGCGAAUUGCAGAAUUCAGUGAAUCAUCAAAUCUUUGAACGCAAAUUGCGCUCUUGGGUAGCCCUAGGAGCACGCCUCUCUCAGUAUCGGUUCAACCAUCUCUCAGCAGCGUAGGCAACUACGUCUGACUGGAAAAUGAGAGUCGAGUGCCUUGUGUACUCGUCUCUUGAAAUACAUCGAGUGUGGACUCAUCGACCUCAGCUUCUGCCUUCGGGCGGAAUAGUGGAUCUCGACUGUCGCACCUCAAGUGACGUGAAUACUGGCCCUUGUGGUCUCCUUUUACGUGUAUCUUGGGUGCGUCGAUUAGGUUGGGUGAAGCGAACGUUGUUGAACGAUUCGACAUGGAACGUGGCAGUGAUGCUACAAUCGGCCCUGUGUUUACAUAGAGUCUGAAUAUUUGAUCUGAGAUGAAGCGAGACAACCCCCUGAAUUUAAGCAUAUUAAUAAGGGGAGGAAAAGAAACUAACAAGGAUUCCCCCAGUAACGGCGAGUGAAGCGGGAAGAGCUCAAUUUGAAAAUCGAUUACCUAAACGGGUCAUCGAAUUGUAGCCUAGAGACGUACUAUCAGCUGAAACCUGGGUAUAAGUUCUUUGGAAUGAGGCAUCAUAGAGGGUGAGAAUCCCGUAUAUGACCCAAAGCUUUCAGCGUACGAUGUAUGUUCCUCGAGUCGAGUUGUUUGGGAUUGCAGCUCUAAAUGGGUGGUAAGUUUCAUCUAAAGCUAAAUAAUGGCGAGAGACCGAUAGCGAACAAGUACCGUGAGGGAAAGAUGAAAAGAACUUUGAAAAGAGAGUUAAAAGUACUUGAAAUUGCUAAGAGGGAAGCGCUGUCAACCAGUGAUAUGCGUCGUUCAUCGCUUUCAGCCCCACUAGUCGUUGUGUGUAGUCUUUAACUCUACACGCAGCGUCGAAAGGGAGGUUGGAGGUUUAGGACGGCGUGUCAGUCAAGAUCCAUUCGAUGAGUGGGAGAAGGGAGUGAGAAAGGUAGGAGAUCCGUCUCUGUUAUAGUCUCAUUUCUCUACCUCGCGUUGGAUGGAGGAAGGAAUAGUGCGCUGCUUGCGGCUUAGCCUCAUGCUCCUGUGUAUUUAGUUGGCUUGAUAGCAAUGCUCUCCUGUUGACGACGGUGCAUACUGGGUAUGACGGCUCUAUGUGCUAUCACGAUCUUGUACGAAAUGGUUGUCAUCGACCCGUCUUGAAACACGGACCAAGGAGUCUAACAUCUAUGCGAGUAUUUGAGUGAAAAACUCUGAUGCGCAAUGAAAGUAAAGGUAGCUUCGGCUGCUGAGGUAGGAAUCCGGUCACACGGAGGCACUAUCGACCGAUCAUCACUUGUGAAAGAUUUGAGUAAGAGCAUAUCUGUUGGGACCCGAAAGAUGGUGAUCUAUGCCUGAACAGGGUGAAGCCAGGGGAAACUCUGGUGGAGGCUCGUAGCGAUACUGACGUGCAAAUCGUUCGUCUGAUUUGGGUAUAGGGGCGAAAGACUAAUCGAACCAUCUAGUAGCUGGUUCCCUC